This is a long non-coding RNA of Felis catus (domestic cat), 1029 nucleotides long. RefSeq lists it as uncharacterized. The transcript has 2 exons. NCBI's taxonomy places the organism in Eukaryota, Metazoa, Chordata, Mammalia, Carnivora, Felidae. The record is from RefSeq and is a predicted model, not a curated record.
GCUCAGAGCCUGGAGCCUGCUUCAGAUUCUGUGUCUCUGCCUCUCUCUGCCCCUCUCCCUCUCGCGCUCUGUCUCCCUCUCUCUCUCGAAAAAUAAACGUGAAAAAAAAUUUAAGAAAAGAUCAAAUGGUCUUUCACUUCGAAUGGAUCUUUCAACCAUAAUUUUGUAGAAUCGUCGGAAAAUAUUGGCUCGCUGUUGACACAUUUCACGACACAACAUCAAAAAUCACAAUUACUUAUAUUACCACUACUGUUGUCAGAAAAGUAUUUAAGUAUCGGAAAGCUGGAAAGCGUCGUCUGCCUAGAGUGCCUGUUCAGCACACUGUCAGUGACUCAUGGAGCGUCUGAGUUAUCAUCGUGGGAUCCCCCCUCACAUACUGCGCCACAGAGUCUUGAAAGGGCGAACCGCUAGCCCCCCAGGGUGCAAAUACAUGGAUAUAAUAAUCGUGCUACCGAAUAGCUGCUUGGUCUCCUUUAGGGAUGUAGCAAAUCUCAAGGCUGAAAUUGAAUUUCAAGGGUUGGCAUUGACCUUUGAUGCUGACAGGUUGGACAUCCAGCAGCAGUAGGAGCUACAUCGGCUUUGGUAAGAGGAACCCCAUGUUGUUUUAUUGGGUGGACGAAUAUCCUCCAAUCUUGCCAACACAAAUACUCUGUUAUUGGACACUGCAAGCAUGGAGGUUGACAAGGGCACGUGUUAGCCGAUCUCCAGCGGAGGCGUCAUCUUAUCCACUUGGCCGUUGAGUGGCUCCUUGGCAGUGGAUACUCACUGGUGGGCUCAGUGGUUUCCACUGCCACAGGUGCAUCCAGGAGGAACUACAGAGCAUUGCGGCCGCUCUUAUGUGUGCACUCUGGGAUGAUCUCCCCGCUCAAGAGUUUUCAUUUAAUCACCGUCCUUUUGCCACGUAAGGUAACGUAUUCACAGGUUCCGGGGAUUAGAACCCCGACAUCUUUGGGUUGCCCGUAUUCUGUCUAUUACAGGGUUGUUUCCAGAUGUUGGCUAUUAAAAAUAAAGCUACUAAAAACAUUCCUA